ACGCAUGCGAAGAGCGGUCAUAAGAUAGACAUAGAAAAGCUUAAAAGCUUAUCACCGAAUAUCAUUGAUCUGCGGUCACCUUGGAUAAGUGAACGAAACAUCACGCGAUUCUUAUCUAUGUUUUUGCAUAUCGAGAUAAGAGUGCCGUUAUGUAAAAGCUUUUUCUCUAGCAUAGUUAGGGCUAGAUUUGCAUAGGAGAGCUUUGACAUUAUUUGACGAGCUUGAAAGCAAUACGGCUGCAAUUGUAAGCCAAGUUUAAUAAAUAUUUAAAUUGUGCUGAAAAUUAAAUAAAAUCAAAUCCCAGACGAAUAAUCGGGAUUCAUUUAAUAAGUGUUUAGUUAUUUUAUGCCAGUGCCACGUGCCAGUGCGGCUAGUACCAAAUUAUCACCCUAUUAUGCAACCGGCUAUCUGGAGGCCGAAAUGGAUGAAAUAUGGGAAUUAUCUAGUGCAGAGAUUCGACGCGGGAUCGCAAUCUUUUGAUAAUUAUUUUUGGAUUCGACGACAAGCCCCCUUUUCGCUACACGGAGAGAAAACUCCGGCGAAUUAUUUAUAAAUUUGUAACUAUAAGAAGUGCAAUUAUGUGAAUAUUGGCCUGCUGAAUUUUAUUCAAAGCUCAAAUCCCUUUUGUUAAUUAUCCCUUUUGUUAAUUAUGAAAUUAUUCUGCGGAAAGAAAGAAUAUUGUAUCUUAAUUCGAAUUUUGCACACCCUUCAGUUUUUUAAAAUAAUUAAUAUCUUAAUAUCCGUUGUUAUUUUAUUAAAUAUAUAUAGAUUUAUGUAAAUAUAUAUAUAAGUGAUGUGAAAAUAUAAGGAAAGAAUUUAGAUUGAAUUAAAUAAUGAUAACUUUGCGAUAAUAUUCGAGCAUGGCCAGGCUAAUUUAUUGUUAUAUUUAAAUUAAUAAUUGUAAACAUCUCUAGCUAUUCCUGUCCUUGAGCUCAACGGCGGCGAACAUCGGUGAGUGAAUAUCCCUAAAUUAAAUUUUAAUAGUUUUGCGAAGCAAACAGUAAAUUUUAGCAAGGCAUGAAUUGGAUAAUUUUGGAUUAAUAAUAAUUUUAACUAAUGAAAUCGCAAAUUUUAUAAUUCCUAAUUUAAUUACUACAUUAAUCCCAAACGUAGUUAAACUGAUUUAUUAAAUUUAA
Molecule: long non-coding RNA, 1136 nt
Organism: Drosophila ananassae
Lineage: Eukaryota; Metazoa; Arthropoda; Insecta; Diptera; Drosophilidae
Exons: 3
Source: RefSeq, a predicted model, not a curated record